CCUACGGGCGGCUGCAGUGGGGAAUUUUGGACAAUGGGCGCAAGCCUGAUCCAGCCAUUCCGCGUGAGUGAAGAAGGCCUUCGGGUUGUAAAGCUCUUUCGCAAGGGAAGAAAACUUCUCCUCUAACAUAGGAUGAGGUUGACGGUACCUUGAUAAGAAGCACCGGCUAACUACGUGCCAGCAGCCGCGGUAAUACGUCGGAUGCGAGCGUUAAUCGGAAUGAGUAGGCGGUUUGCUAAGUCAGGCUGGAAAUCCCCGAGCUCAACUUGGGAACUGCGUUUGAAACUACAAGACUAGAAUAGGUCAGAGGGGGGUAGAAUUCCACGUGUAGCAGUGAAAUGCGUAGAGAUGUGGAGGAAUAUCAAUGGCGAAGGCAGCCCCCUGGGAUCAUAUUGACGCUCAUGCACGAAAGCGUGGGGAGCAAACAGGAUUAGAUACCCCUGUAGUC
RNAcentral lists this ribosomal RNA (448 nucleotides) under uncultured bacterium. Its description in RNAcentral is "partial 16S ribosomal RNA". It matches the Rfam family "Bacterial small subunit ribosomal RNA", at positions 338 to 795 of the family's 1533-position model. The record is from RNAcentral.